Molecule: ribosomal RNA, 490 nt
Filed under: uncultured bacterium
Lineage: Bacteria
Description: partial 16S ribosomal RNA
Rfam family: Bacterial small subunit ribosomal RNA
Source: RNAcentral
AUUGAACGCUGGCGGCAGGCCUAACACAUGCAAGUCGAACGGUAACAGGAAACAGCUUGCUGUUUCGCUGACGAGUGGCGGACGGGUGAGUAAUGUCUGGGAAACUGCCUGAUGGAGGGGGAUAACUACUGGAAACGGUAGCUAAUACCGCAUAACGUCGCAAGACCAAAGAGGGGGACCCUCGGGCCUCUUGCCAUCGGAUGUGCCUAGAUGGGAUUAGCUUGUUGGUGGGGUAACGGCUCACCAAGGCGACGAUCCCUAGCUGGUCUGAGAGGAUGACCAGCCACACUGGAACUGAGACACGGUCCAGACUCCUACGGGAGGCAGCAGUGGGGAAUAUUGCACAAUGGGCGCAAGCCUGAUGCAGCCAUGCCGCGUGUAUGAAGAAGGCCUUCGGGUUGUAAAGUACUUUCAGCGGGGAGGAAGGGAGUAAAGUUAAUACCUUUGCUCAUUGACGUUACCCGCAGAAGAAGCACCGGCUAACUCCGUG